GAUGAACGCUGGCGGCGUGCCUAAUACAUGCAAGUCGAGCGAACGGACGAGAAGCUUGCUUCUCUGAUGUUAGCGGCGGACGGGUGAGUAACACGUGGAUAACCUACCUAUAAGACUGGGAUAACUUCGGGAAACCGGAGCUAAUACCGGAUAAUAUUUUGAACCGCAUGGUUCAAAAGUGAAAGACGGUCUUGCUGUCACUUAUAGAUGGAUCCGCGCUGCAUUAGCUAGUUGGUAAGGUAACGGCUUACCAAGGCAACGAUGCAUAGCCGACCUGAGAGGGUGAUCGGCCACACUGGAACUGAGACACGGUCCAGACUCCUACGGGAGGCAGCAGUAGGGAAUCUUCCGCAAUGGGCGAAAGCCUGACGGAGCAACGCCGCGUGAGUGAUGAAGGUCUUCGGAUCGUAAAACUCUGUUAUUAGGGGAGAACAUAUGUGUAAGUAACUGUGCGCAUCUUGACGGUACCUAAUCAGAAAGCCACGGCUAACUACGUG
This 497-nucleotide ribosomal RNA is filed under the name uncultured bacterium. RNAcentral's name for it is "partial 16S ribosomal RNA". It matches the Rfam family "Bacterial small subunit ribosomal RNA", at positions 28 to 507 of the family's 1533-position model. The record is from RNAcentral.